This 109-nucleotide small nucleolar RNA is filed under the name Eucalyptus grandis. The record is from RNAcentral. Lineage: Eukaryota; Viridiplantae; Streptophyta; Magnoliopsida; Myrtales; Myrtaceae.
UAUCAGAUAGCCAGCUGCCCUUUAUGGUUCUUCAUCCGAAAUUGAAACAGAAUUUAAUGCUUGUAGCCCUUCCUGUAUGGGCUGCAAGUUUGGCUUUUCUGUAACAUUU